CUCCCCCUGGGUCACGUGGCUCCAGCCACACCCACCUCCCUGCUGUUCCUCACCCAGGAUCACCAAGGUCUCUCCUACCCCGGGGCCUGUGCACCUGCUGUGCCUCUGCUUGGGGUGCUCUUCCCAGGGCUUGCCCACCUCCUCAGAGAGGCCUCCUGACCCCUGACACGGCCUUGCCCUUCACCUCUAUCGUCCUUUAGAACAGCCCCCACCUCCCGCACAUCAUGCAGUUGCAGGUUCAAUGGCUACUGCUUGUCCUCCAGACUCGAUAGGCCUCAUCACUCCUCAGAUGAUUCUCGAAGGAUAACACACAGGCCAGUGGGCAGCCCUAGGCCAGGGGGAUUACCAAGACAUGAAGACUUUCUUUCUGUCUCAGCAACCUUCAUGCUUGGUCAAGCAAAGGUGUUGCUUAAGUCAAACCCAGGGCAGGGGAGAGCAGUUGAAGCAAAGUGAGUCUUUGGAGGCCCUGUGGUUGUGGGGUCUGGUGUGGAGACAGUGAGAACGGAAAAGGUGGGAGAGGAGCAGUCAACCCGUGAAUGGCCCCAUUCAGACGCCUUUACCUGGAAGACGUGGCAGGUCUACUGGGGUUCAUCCCAUCUGAGCCAGGCCUGGCUUUUCUUGGCUGCAAGCUGAGAGCUGGGUCCAGGUCUGCUGAACCAAGGUUCUCCCAUCUUCCUUGAGCCAGUGACAAUCAGAGGCCUAUUUCUUUCAUGACGGAAGGCAGGAGAACAAGCAGGCAAGACCAGCUGUGCUAGCACAUGGCACCCCUUUCCCACAUCACACCUGCUAACAUCCCAUUGUUCAAAGCAAGUAACACAACCAAACCCAAUAUCAACAGGACAAGAAAACAGACUCCACCUCUAGGUGCACAAACUACAGAGUCACGGACAGAGAACACAGAUCUAGGGAAGGAAGCUGGAGAAUGAGAACAAUGACCCUCAAUAACACAACCUCCCACAGGUUUCCAAAUCCCCAACCUGAGCAUAUUUCCAAGGAAACGGAAUCAUGGGUUCAGGGUUUUAGAGCAAGCAAUUUCUGCUCUCCCAGCUUAGUUUCCAUACCCUUAACACAGGGGCAAUGACGUCGCAUCGAAUCAUAUCUUAUAAGUCUGUGAUGAUGUUUCAACAACUGAACGCCAGAAAAGUGCUUAGAGCAAGGCCAGGUAGGAGGGACAGAAGCCAAUAAUAAUGAGUAGCAUCACUGUUAACCCGCAAAAUUCUGGGAAUUUCCUCGAAAGUCUAAUUAGAGAAUCAUGUCCCCAACAAUUAACAGUUAUUUUGUUUUUUUUUUCUUUGAAUCUGAGAAAAUACUAAUUGUCACAGGGUAGAA
Molecule: long non-coding RNA, 1329 nt
Organism: Homo sapiens (human)
Lineage: Eukaryota; Metazoa; Chordata; Mammalia; Primates; Hominidae
Product: long intergenic non-protein coding RNA 494
Source: Ensembl